This 239-nucleotide unclassified non-coding RNA is filed under the name Hevea brasiliensis (rubber tree). Lineage: Eukaryota; Viridiplantae; Streptophyta; Magnoliopsida; Malpighiales; Euphorbiaceae. The record is from RNAcentral.
GGAAAUAAGUUAUCAAAGAGGAAUGUUCCUCCAGCUCCAGAUUUAGAGUUGUUCCUAUACCCAUCAUCUCCACUCAAUGAUAAUAGCACAGGAGGUAUAGGUUCAUUAGCGUCACCCUCUGAAAAUAUAUGUACAGAAAUUUGGCCAAGCUUCUGGCAAGAAAAGGAAUAAGGUCCAAUACGUUUAAGAUGAUAGCCAGGCUUUGAAGUCUCAACUCUGUACGUUAUAUCAUCAUAUAA